RNAcentral lists this non-coding RNA (26 nucleotides) under Mus musculus (house mouse). Lineage: Eukaryota; Metazoa; Chordata; Mammalia; Rodentia; Muridae. The record is from RNAcentral.
UCCUGACUCUGCUUCUUAAAUGCUAA